CAAUUAUUAAUAGUUAUGUUCUUUAAAAUUAAAAAUUUUGGCGGUAUUUUAGUCUUUUCAGAGGAACCUGUUUUUUGAUUGAUAGUCCACGAUAAAUUUUACUUUAAUUUUUAAUUUAUAUAUCGUCGUUAAUAAGGAUUUUAUUAGAAUUUUAAUUUUUGAUUUUUUUUAUUAAAAAUUAGUUCAGAUCAAGGUGUAGUUUAUAUUAAAGUUAAAAUGGGUUACAUUAGAUUUAUUUUUGGUUUUGAUUUUGAAAAUUUUAAAUAAAUUGGAUUUGAAAGUAAUGAUUAUAUUUUUGUAUUAUGAUUAAGCUCUAAAAUAUGCACACAUCGCC
This 334-nucleotide ribosomal RNA is filed under the name Adelium sp. 1 GJK-2014. RNAcentral's name for it is "partial 12S ribosomal RNA". Lineage: Eukaryota; Metazoa; Arthropoda; Insecta; Coleoptera; Tenebrionidae. The record is from RNAcentral.